GUCGAACGAGUGUAGCAAUACAUUCGUGGCGAACGGGUGCGUAACACGUGGAUAACCUUCCUUCAGGUGGGGAAUAACCCCGUGAAAACGGGGCUAAUACCGCAUAACGAGUCGGGGACGCAUGUUCCUGCCUCCAAAGCCGCAAGGCGCCAGAAGAGGGAUGCGCGGCCGAUUAGCUUGUUGGCGGGGUAACGGCCCACCAAGGCAAAGAUCGGUAGCCGGACUGAGAGGUUGGCCGGCCACACUGGAACUGAGACACGGUCCAGACUCCUACGGGAGGCAGCAGUGGGGAAUCUUGCGCAAUGGGCGAAAGCCUGACGCAGCAACGCCGCGUGGGGGAUGAAGCUUCUCGGAGUGUAAACCCCUUUCGACCCGGACGAAUGCCCGCAAGGGCUUGACGGUACGGGUAUAAGAAGCCCCGGCCAACUACGUGCCAGCAGCCGCGGUAAUACGUAGGGGGCAAGCGUUGUUCGGAAUUACUGGGCGUAAAGGGCGUGUAGGCGGUGCGGUAAGUUGGACGUGAAAUCCCCGGGCUUAACCCGGGGCGGUCGUUCAAAACUGCCGUGCUGGAGUGUGGGAGAGGGAAGUGGAAUUCCCGGUGUAGCGGUGAAAUGCGUAGAUAUCGGGAAGAACACCUGUGGCGAAGGCGGCUUCCUGGCCCACAACUGACGCUGAGGCGCGAAAGCUAGGGGAGCAAACAGGAUUAGAUA
This 710-nucleotide ribosomal RNA is filed under the name uncultured bacterium. RNAcentral's name for it is "bacterial SSU rRNA". It matches the Rfam family "Bacterial small subunit ribosomal RNA", at positions 61 to 784 of the family's 1533-position model. The record is from RNAcentral.